CAGCCGCGGUAAAACGAAGGGUGCAAGCGUUACUCGGAAUUACUGGGCGUAAAGCGUGCGUAGGUGGUGGUUUAAGUCUGUUGUGAAAGCCCUGGGCUCAACCUGGGAAUUGCAGUGGAUACUGGGUCACUAGAGUGUGGUAGAGGAUAGUGGAAUUUCCGGUGUAGCAGUGAAAUGCGUAGAGAUCGGAAGGAACAUCUGUGGCGAAGGCGACUAUCUGGGCCAACACUGACACUGAGGCACGAAAGCGUGGGGAGCAAACAGGAUUAGAGACCCGCGUAGUCCCCUGUCUCUUAUACAC
Molecule: ribosomal RNA, 301 nt
Filed under: uncultured bacterium
Lineage: Bacteria
Description: partial 16S ribosomal RNA
Rfam family: Bacterial small subunit ribosomal RNA
Source: RNAcentral